GACGAACGCUGGCGGCGUGCUUAACACAUGCAAGUCGAACGGAAAGGCCCUGCUUUUGUGGGGUGCUCGAGUGGCGAACGGGUGAGUAACACGUGAGUAACCUGCCCUUGACUUUGGGAUAACUUCAGGAAACUGGGGCUAAUACCGGAUAGGAGCUCCUGCUGCAUGGUGGGGGUUGGAAAGUUUCGGCGGUUGGGGAUGGACUCGCGGCUUAUCAGCUUGUUGGUGGGGUAGUGGCUUACCAAGGCUUUGACGGGUAGCCGGCCUGAGAGGGUGACCGGCCACAUUGGGACUGAGAUACGGCCCAGACUCUUACGGGAGGCAGCAGUGGGGAAUAUUGCAUAAUGGGCGGAAGCCUGAUGCAGCAACGCCGCGUGCGGGAUGACGGCCUUCGGGUUGUAAACCGCUUUCGCCUGUGACGAAGCGUGAGUGACGGUAAUGGGUAAAGAAGCACCGGCUAACUACGUG
Molecule: ribosomal RNA, 468 nt
Filed under: uncultured bacterium
Lineage: Bacteria
Description: partial 16S ribosomal RNA
Rfam family: Bacterial small subunit ribosomal RNA
Source: RNAcentral